CCCUUAGAUGUUCUGGGCCGCACGCGCGCUACACUGACGAAUGCAACGAGCUUAUAACCUUGGCCGAAAGGUCUGGGUAAUCUCCAAAUUUCGUCGUGAUGGGGAUAGAUUAUUGCAAUUAUUAAUCUUCAACGAGGAAUGCCUAGUAAGCGCAAGUCAUCAGCCUGCGUUGAUUACGUCCCUGCCCUUUGUACACACCGCCCGUCGCUCCUACCGAUUGAAUGGUCCGGUGAAGCGCUCGGACCGCGGCCUCUUGACGGUUUUCCGUCGAUUGGCUGUGGGAAGUUCGUUAAACCUUAUCAUUUAGAGGAAGGAGAAGUCGUAACA
Molecule: ribosomal RNA, 327 nt
Filed under: uncultured eukaryote
Lineage: Eukaryota
Description: partial 18S ribosomal RNA
Rfam family: Eukaryotic small subunit ribosomal RNA
Source: RNAcentral